AUACGUAGGGUGCGAGCGUUGUCCGGAAUUACUGGGCGUAAAGAGCUCGUAGGUGGUUUGUCGCGUCGUCUGUGAAAUUCCGGGGCUUAACUCCGGGCGUGCAGGCGAUACGGGCAUAACUUGAGUACUGUAGGGGAGACUGGAAUUCCUGGUGUAGCGGUGAAAUGCGCAGAUAUCAGGAGGAACACCGGGGGCGAAGGCGGGUCUCUGGGCAGUAACUGACGCUGAGGAGCGAAAGCAUGGGUAGCGAACAGGAUUAGAUACCCUGGUAGUCCAUGCCGUAAACGGUGGGCGCUAGGUGUAGGGGUCUUCCACGACUUCUGUGCCGUAGCUAACGCAUUAAGCGCCCCGCCUGGGGAGUACGGCCGCAAGGCUAAAACUCAAAUGAAUUGACGGGG
This 398-nucleotide ribosomal RNA is filed under the name uncultured bacterium. RNAcentral describes it as "partial 16S ribosomal RNA". It matches the Rfam family "Bacterial small subunit ribosomal RNA", at positions 523 to 918 of the family's 1533-position model. The record is from RNAcentral.